Molecule: ribosomal RNA, 254 nt
Filed under: uncultured bacterium
Lineage: Bacteria
Description: partial 16S ribosomal RNA
Rfam family: Bacterial small subunit ribosomal RNA
Source: RNAcentral
UACGUAGGGUGCGAGCGUUGUCCGGAAUUAUUGGGCGUAAAGAGCUCGUAGGCGGUGUGUCACGUCGUUCGUGAAAACCUGCAGCUUAACUGUGGGCGUGCGGUCGAUACGGGUAUCACUGGAGUUCGGCAGGGGAGACUGGAAUUCCUGGUGUAGCGGUGAAAUGCGCAGAUAUCAGGAAGAACACCCGUGGCUAAGGCGGCUCUCUAGUACGGUACUGACGCUGAGACGCGAAAGCGUGGGGAGCGAACAGG